GCGGAAGUAGUUCAGUGGUAGAAUACAACCUUGCCAAGGUUGGGGUCGCGGGUUCGAAUCCCGUCUUCCGCUUCA
RNAcentral lists this transfer RNA (75 nucleotides) under Bacillus cereus. RNAcentral's name for it is "transfer RNA-Gly". It matches the Rfam family "tRNA". Rfam says of the family: Transfer RNA (tRNA) molecules are approximately 80 nucleotides in length. The record is from RNAcentral. Lineage: Bacteria; Bacillati; Bacillota; Bacilli; Caryophanales; Bacillaceae. RNAcentral also lists the same sequence under 5 other names.